GACGAACGCUGGCGGCGUGCUUAACACAUGCAAGUCGAGCGAGAAACCCUCUUCGGAGGGGAGUACAGCGGCGAACGGGUGAGUAACACGUGGGCAACCUGCCCCAACGGAGGCGGGACGAACCCGGGGAAACCCGGGCGUAACUACCGCAUGAUUCGUGGUGCCUCAAGGCACCUCGGUAAAUGGUAGCUUCGGCCUCCGCCUUGGGAUGGGCCCGCGGCGCAUUAGCUUGUUGGUGAGGUAAGGGCUCACCAAGGCGACGAUGCGUAGCUGGUCUGAGAGGACGAUCAGCCACACUGGGACUGAGACACGGCCCAGACU
Molecule: ribosomal RNA, 321 nt
Filed under: uncultured bacterium
Lineage: Bacteria
Description: bacterial SSU rRNA
Rfam family: Bacterial small subunit ribosomal RNA
Source: RNAcentral